UGCAGUCGAGCGAUGGAUUGAGAGCUUGCUCUCAAGAAGUUAGCGGCGGACGGGUGAGUAACACGUGGGUAACCUGCCCAUAAGACUGGGAUAACUCCGGGAAACCGGGGCUAAUACCGGAUAACAUUUUGAACUGCAUGGUUCGAAAUUGAAAGGCGGCUUCGGCUGUCACUUAUGGAUGGACCCGCGUCGCAUUAGCUAGUUGGUGAGGUAACGGCUCACCAAGGCAACGAUGCGUAGCCGACCUGAGAGGGUGAUCGGCCACACUGGGACUGAGACACGGCCCAGACUCCUACGGGAGGCAGCAGUAGGGAAUCUUCCGCAAUGGACGAAAGUCUGACGGAGCAACGCCGCGUGAGUGAUGAAGGCUUUCGGGUCGUAAAACUCUGUUGUUAGGGAAGAACAAGUGCUAGUUGAAUAAGCUGGCACCUUGACGGUACCUAACCAGAAAGCCACGGCUAACUACGUGCCAGCAGCCGCGGUAAUACGUAGGUGGCAAGCGUUAUCCGGAAUUAUUGGGCGUAAAGCGCGCGCAGGUGGUUUCUUAAGUCUGAUGUGAAAGCCCACGGCUCAACCGUGGAGGGUCAUUGGAAACUGGGAGACUUGAGUGCAGAAGAGGAAAGUGGAAUUCCAUGUGUAGCGUAAA
Molecule: ribosomal RNA, 646 nt
Filed under: Bacillus cereus
Lineage: Bacteria; Bacillati; Bacillota; Bacilli; Caryophanales; Bacillaceae
Description: bacterial SSU rRNA
Rfam family: Bacterial small subunit ribosomal RNA
Source: RNAcentral